UACGGGGGGAGCAAGCGUUGUUCGGAUUUACUGGGCGUAAAGGGCGCGUAGGCGGCCACUGCAAGUCGACUGUGAAAUCUCUGGGCUUAACCCAGAAAGGUCAGCCGAUACUGCGGGGCUAGAGUGCAGAAGGGGCAACUGGAAUUCUCGGUGUAGCGGUGAAAUGCGUAGAUAUCGAGAGGAACACCUGCGGCGAAGGCGGGUUGCUGGGCUGACACUGACGCUGAAGCGCGAAAGCUAGGGGAGCGAACGGG
This 254-nucleotide ribosomal RNA is filed under the name uncultured bacterium. Its description in RNAcentral is "partial 16S ribosomal RNA". It matches the Rfam family "Bacterial small subunit ribosomal RNA", at positions 524 to 776 of the family's 1533-position model. The record is from RNAcentral.